RNAcentral lists this ribosomal RNA (440 nucleotides) under uncultured bacterium. RNAcentral's name for it is "partial 16S ribosomal RNA". It matches the Rfam family "Bacterial small subunit ribosomal RNA", at positions 338 to 795 of the family's 1533-position model. The record is from RNAcentral.
CCUACGGGUGGCAGCAGUGGGGGAUAUUGCACAAUGGGGGGAACCCUGAUGCAGCGACGCCGCGUGGGUGAAGAAGCGCCUCGGCGCGUAAAGCCCUGUCAGCAGGGAAGAAAAUGACGGUACCUGAGUAAGAAGCCCCGGCUAACUACGUGCCAGCAGCCGCGGUCAUACGUAGGGGGCAAGCGUUAUCCGGAUUUACUGGGUGUAAAGGGGGCGCAGACGGGGCGGUAAGCCUGGAGUGAAAGCCCGGGGCCGAACUCCGGGACUGCUUUUGGAACUGCGGGGCUGGAGUGCAGGAGGGGUAGGCGGAAUUCCUAGUGUAGCGGUGAAAUGCGUAGAUAUCAGGAGGAACACCGGUGGCGAAGGCGGCCUACUGGACUGUAACUGACGUUGAGGCCCGAAAGCGUGGGGAGCAAACAGGAUUAGAUACCCCAGUAGUC